Molecule: ribosomal RNA, 448 nt
Filed under: uncultured crenarchaeote
Lineage: Archaea; Thermoproteati; Thermoproteota
Description: bacterial SSU rRNA
Rfam family: Archaeal small subunit ribosomal RNA
Source: RNAcentral
GGACCCGACCGCUAUCGGGGUGGGGCUAAGCCAUGGGAGUCGCACGCUCCGCCGCUGCGGGGCGUGGCGCACGGCUGAGUAGCACGUGGCUAACCUGCCCUCGGGAGGGGGAUAACACCGGGAAACUGGUGCUAAUCCCCCAUAGGGGAAGGCGCCUGGAAGGGUCCUUCCUCGAAAAGGCCCGGCAGGGUUAGCGCUGCCGAGCCGCCCGAGGAUGGGGCUACGGCCCAUCAGGUAGUUGGCGGGGUAACGGCCCGCCAAGCCGAUAACGGGUGGGGGCCGUGAGAGCGGGAGCCCCCAGAUGGGCACUGAGACAAGGGCCCAGGCCCUAAGGGGCGCACCAGGCGCGAAACCUCCGCAAUGCGGGAAACCGUGACGGGGCCACCCCGAGUGCCCCCUUUCCGAGGGCUUUUCCCCGCUGUAGGAAGGCGGGGGAAUAAGCNGGGGG